Molecule: transfer RNA, 41 nt
Filed under: Mangifera indica (mango)
Lineage: Eukaryota; Viridiplantae; Streptophyta; Magnoliopsida; Sapindales; Anacardiaceae
Description: partial tRNA-His
Source: RNAcentral
CGGAUGUAGCCAAGUGGAUCAAGGCAGUGGAUUGUGAAUCA